AGUGAACGCUGGCGGUAGGCCUAACACAUGCAAGUCGAACGGCAGCACAGUAAUAGCUUGCUCUUACGGGUGGCGAGUGGCGGACGGGUGAGGAAUACCUCGGAAUCUACUUUUUCGUGGGGGAUAACGUAGGGAAACUUACGCUAAUACCGCAUACGACCUACGGGUGAAAGCAGUGGAUCUUCGGACCUUGCGCGAUUGAAUGAGCCGAUGUCGGAUUAGCUAGUUGGCGGGGUAAAGGCCCACCAAGGCGACGAUCCGUAGCUGGUCUGAGAGGAUGGUCAGCCACACUGGAACUGAGACACGGUACAGACUCCUACGGGAGGCAGCAGUGGGGAAUAUUGGACAAUGGGCGCAAGCCUGAUCCAGCCAUACCGCGUGUGUGAAGAAGGCCUUCGGGUUGUAAAGCCCUUUUGUUGGGAAAGAAAAGCAGCAGGUUAAUACCCCGCUGUUCUGACGGUACCCAAAGAAUAAGCACCGGCUAACUUCGUG
Molecule: ribosomal RNA, 492 nt
Filed under: uncultured bacterium
Lineage: Bacteria
Description: partial 16S ribosomal RNA
Rfam family: Bacterial small subunit ribosomal RNA
Source: RNAcentral